Molecule: transfer RNA, 64 nt
Filed under: Ultragryllacris pulchra rubricapitis
Lineage: Eukaryota; Metazoa; Arthropoda; Insecta; Orthoptera; Gryllacrididae
Description: tRNA-Gly
Source: RNAcentral
AUUUAUUUAGUAUAAAUAGUACAAUUGACUUCCAAUCAUUUAGUUUGAUUACUCAAAAUAAAUA